This 253-nucleotide ribosomal RNA is filed under the name uncultured bacterium. RNAcentral's name for it is "partial 16S ribosomal RNA". It matches the Rfam family "Bacterial small subunit ribosomal RNA", at positions 524 to 776 of the family's 1533-position model. The record is from RNAcentral.
UACGUAGGGUGCGAGCGUUAAUCGGAAUUACUGGGCGUAAAGCGUGCGCAGGCGGUUAUGUAAGACAGAUGUGAAAUCCCCGGGCUCAACCUGGGAACUGCAUUUGUGACUGCAUCGCUGGAGUGCGGCAGAGGGGGAUGGAAUUCCGCGUGUAGCAGUGAAAUGCGUAGAUAUGCGGAGGAACACCGAUGGCGAAGGCAAUCCCCUGGGCCUGUACUGACGCUCAUGCACGAAAGCGUGGGGAGCAAACAGG